Molecule: ribosomal RNA, 490 nt
Filed under: uncultured bacterium
Lineage: Bacteria
Description: partial 16S ribosomal RNA
Rfam family: Bacterial small subunit ribosomal RNA
Source: RNAcentral
GGUGAACGCUGGCGGCAGGCCUAACACAUGCAAGUCGAACGGCAGCACAAGAGAGCUUGCUCUCUGGGUGGCGAGUGGCGGACGGGUGAGGAAUGCAUCGGAAUCUGCCCAUUUGUGGGGGAUAACCUCGGGAAACCGGGACUAAUACCGCAUACGACCUACGGGUGAAAGCAGGGGAUCUUCGGACCUUGCGCAGAUGGAUGAGCCGAUGCCGGAUUAGCUAGUUGGAGGGGUAAAGGCCCACCAAGGCGACGAUCCGUAGCUGGUCUGAGAGGAUGAUCAGCCACACUGGGACUGAGACACGGCCCAGACUCCUACGGGAGGCAGCAGUGGGGAAUAUUGGACAAUGGGCGCAAGCCUGAUCCAGCCAUGCCGCGUGUGUGAAGAAGGCCUUCGGGUUGUAAAGCACUUUUGUUGGGAAAGAAAAGCAGCCGGUUAAUACCCGGUUGUCAUGACGGUACCCAAAGAAUAAGCACCGGCUAACUUCGUG